UCCCUGACGGUCCAGUGGCAAGGAUUCAGCACUCUAACUGCCGAGGGCCCGGGUUCAACCCCUGGUUGGGGAA
This 73-nucleotide transfer RNA is filed under the name Bos taurus (domestic cattle). It matches the Rfam family "tRNA". Rfam says of the family: Transfer RNA (tRNA) molecules are approximately 80 nucleotides in length. Their secondary structure includes four short double-helical elements and three loops (D, anti-codon, and T loops). RNAcentral also lists the same sequence under 1 other name. Lineage: Eukaryota; Metazoa; Chordata; Mammalia; Artiodactyla; Bovidae. The record is from Rfam by way of RNAcentral.